RNAcentral lists this ribosomal RNA (422 nucleotides) under uncultured prokaryote. Its description in RNAcentral is "bacterial SSU rRNA". It matches the Rfam family "Bacterial small subunit ribosomal RNA", at positions 338 to 774 of the family's 1533-position model. The record is from RNAcentral.
CCUACGGAAGGCAGCAGUGGGGGAUAUUGCACAAUGGGCGAAAGCCUGAUGCAGCAACGCCGCGUGAGGGAAGACGGUUUUCGGAUUGUAAACCUCUGUCUUCGGUGAAGAAAAAAAUGACGGUCGCCGAGGAGGAAGCCACGGCUAACUACGUGCCAGCAGCCGCGGUAAUACGUAGGUGGCGAGCGUUGUCCGGAAUUACUGGGUGUAAAGGGAGCGCAGGCGGGGAAACAAGUCAGCUGUGAAAACUAUGGGCGUAACCCAUAAACUGCAGUUGAAACUGGUGUUCUUGAGUGGAGUAGAGGUAGGCGGAAUUCCUAGUGUAGCGGUGAAAUGCGUAGAUAUUCGGAGGAACACCAGUGGCGAAGGCGGCCUACUGGGCUCUAACUGACGCUGAGGCUCGAAAGUGUGGGGAGCAAACA